RNAcentral lists this ribosomal RNA (506 nucleotides) under uncultured bacterium. RNAcentral describes it as "bacterial SSU rRNA". It matches the Rfam family "Bacterial small subunit ribosomal RNA", at positions 28 to 508 of the family's 1533-position model. The record is from RNAcentral.
GACGAACGCUGGCGGCGUGCUUAACACAUGCAAGUCGAACGGAGAUUAUUAAUGAAGCUUGCGAUUUAAUAAUCUUAGUGGCGGACGGGUGAGUAACGCGUGGGCAACCUACCCAUAAGCGGGGGAUAACAGUUGGAAACGACUGCUAAUACCGCAUAAGCUAUUGAGGUCGCAUGACCUAAAUAGUAAAGGUGGCGAAAGCUAUCACUUAUGGAUGGGCCCGCGUCUGAUUAGCUAGUUGGUGGGAUAGCAGCCUACCAAGGCAACGAUCAGUAGCCGGCCUGAGAGGGUGGACGGCCACACUGGGACUGAGACACGGCCCAGACUCCUACGGGAGGCAGCAGUGGGGAAUAUUGCGCAAUGGGGGAAACCCUGACGCAGCGACGCCGCGUGAGCGAAGAAGGCCUUAGGGUCGUAAAGCUCUGUUGUAAGGGACGAAUGUUUAUCUGGCGAACAGUCAGAUAAAGUGACGGUACCUUACCAGCAAGCCCCGGCUAACUACGUGA